Exaiptasia diaphana is the source of this 401-nucleotide long non-coding RNA. RefSeq lists it as uncharacterized. The record is from RefSeq and is a predicted model, not a curated record. Lineage: Eukaryota; Metazoa; Cnidaria; Anthozoa; Actiniaria; Aiptasiidae. The transcript is spliced from 3 exons.
AUSAAACCGCGCUUAAUCUGACAGCUACUUUGCUGUAAAACCUUGUAAAACAGAAACUUUAUAUAGAUGUUAUUUAAAUAGUUAUAAAACUGUCGACUUCUUGAAGGUUGUGGCUGAGAUGCUGAAAGUAUUCGGUGUUUUACAUACCAAAGUUGACUAGACUCUGUGAGGUCAAACUACUUGCAUGUAAAUCAUUUUAGUAAACAGAAAUCAUAAUAUUGGAGCCGCUAUGAUUGACGAAGAUAUAUUGUUUAUYGAGCUCGAAGCUGCUGUGAAGAAAGAAUUCGAGGCAAAUUUACCAAAUGGCUGGAUACUGAGCCAAUCGAAAAACCAUGGCAGAAUGUACUAUUUCAAUAAAACUACGGGCGAAAGCCGCUGGUUUCACCCUCUAAUACCAAAUG